UACCUAAUUGAUUUUACUAGUAGUUAUAUACUUAUCUCAAAGAUUAAGCUAUAUAUAUUUAAAUUUAAGUAAUUAAACCGCGAAACUACAAAUAGCUUAUUAAAUUAAUUAUAGUUUAUUUAAUAGUACUUUACUAUAUAAAUAACCGUAGUAAUUUUAAAGCUAAUAUAUAUUAAAAACCCUAAUUUUGGAAAGGGUAUAUUUAUUAAAUUAAAAACCAAUACCCUUCGGGGCUAAUUAAUAAUUUAUAAUAAUUUCUCGAAUCGUAUAGCCUUAUACUAGCGAUAGUUUAUUCAAAUUUCUACCCUAUUAACUUUCGACGGCUAGGUCUUAGCUAACUAUAGUAAUAAUAAGUAAUAGAGGGUUAGGGCUCGACCCUAGAGAAGGAGCCUAAGAAACAGCUACUAUAUUUAAAGAAGGUAGUAAGCGCGUAAAUUACCUAAUUCCAAUAUAGGGAGGUAGUAAUAAUAAAUAUUAAUAUAAGGCUCUUUUAGGUCUUGUAAUUAGAAUAAAUAUAAUUUAAAUCCUUUAACGAAGAAUAAUUGGAGGGUAAGUCUAGUACUAGUAACUGUAGUAAUUCUAAUUCUAAUAGCGUAUAUUAAAGUUAUUAAAAUUAAAAAGCUUGUAAUUGAACUUUAGGCUCGGCCCGUUGGUCCGCCUUACCGCGUAUAUUAAUUAAAUCGGGCCUUUUUUCUUAGAGAACCGUAUACCCUUUACUAGGUAUAUUAGGGAACCAGGACUUUUACUAUAAAUAAAUUAAAUCGCUUAAAGAAAGCCUAUAUUCGAAUAUAUUAGUAUAGAAUAAUAGAAUAGGACGUAUAGUUCUAUUUUAUUAAUUUCUAGGACCGCCGUAAUAAUUAAUAGGGAUAAUCGGGGGUAUUAAUAUUUAAUUAUUAGAAGUAAAAUUCUUAGAUUUAUUAAAGAUUAAUUAUUAUAAAAGUAUUUACUAAGGAUAUUUUUAUUAAUUAAGAACGAAAGUUAGGGGAUCGAAGAUAAUUAAAUACUAUUAUAGUUUUAACUAUAAAUUAUACCAAUUAAGGAUUGGAUAGUGUUAUUUUUUAACCUAUUCGGCACUUUACAAUAAAUUAAAAUAUUUGGGCUCCUGGGGGAAUAUAGUUACAAAGCUAAAAUUUAAAGAAAUUAAUAGAAGGGCACUACUAAGGGUAGAGCCUAUAAUUUAAUUUAAUUUAAUAUAGAGAAACUUACUAAGUUUAAAUAUAAUAAGGAUUAAUAAAUUGAGAGCUCUUUCUUAAUUUCGUAAGUAGUAGUAUAUAGCUAUUCUUAGUUAGUAGAGUAAUUUAUCUAUUUAAUUAUAAUAAUAAACGAAACUUUAAUUUACUAAAUAGCCUAUAUUACUUUAAUAGUAUAUUAGCUUUUUAGAGGGACUAUCGGUUUAAGCCGAUAGAAAUUUAAAGUAAUAAUAAGUUUAUAAUACCCUUAAAUAUUCUAGGCCGUACGCGCGCUAUAUUAAUAUAAUUAGCGAGUAUUCCCUUAGCUGGAAGGUUUAGGUAAUUUUAUUAAAUUAUAUUGUACUAGGGAUAGAGUAUUAUAAUUAUUACUCUUCAAUAAGGAAUCCCUAGUAAAUGUAAAUUAUUAAUUUAUAUUAAUUACAUUCCUGCCCUUUAUAUAUACCGCCCGUUGCUACUACCGAUUGAAUAGUUUAGUAAAGCUUCUAGACUAGCCUAGGGAAGUCGGUAACGACUACCCAAAGCUAGAAAAUUAUUUAAAUUCAGUUAUUUAGAGGAAGUAAAAGUUAUAAUAAAGUUUCUAUUGGUAAAUUAGUAGAGAGAUUAUUA
Ribosomal RNA from Neurospora crassa OR74A, 1796 nucleotides. It matches the Rfam family "Eukaryotic small subunit ribosomal RNA". NCBI's taxonomy places the organism in Eukaryota, Fungi, Ascomycota, Sordariomycetes, Sordariales, Sordariaceae. The record is from Rfam.